GGAGUUAGCCGGUGCUUCUUCUGUGAGUGAUGUCCUUCCUGCCGGUUAUUGACCCGCAGGCCUUCUUCCUCACUGAAAGUGCUUUACAACCCGAAGGCCUUCUUCACACACGCGGCAUGGCUGGAUCAGGGUUGCCCCCCAUUGUCCAAUAUUCCCCACUGCUGCCUCCCGUAGGAGUCUGGGCCGUGUCUCAGUCCCAGUGUGGCUGAUCAUCCUCUCAGACCAGCUACGGAUCGUCGCCUUGGUGAGCCGUUACCUCACCAACCAGCUAAUCCGACAUAGGCUCAUCCGAUAGCGCGAGGCCCGAAGGUCCCCCGCUUUCCCCCGUAGGGCGUAUGCGGUAUUAGCCUGGGUUUCCCCAGGUUAUCCCCCACUACCGGGGCAGAUUCCUAUCGCAUUACUCACCCGUCCGCCGCUCGCCACCAGGGAGCAAGCUCCCCGUGCUGCCGCUCGACUUGCAUGUGUUAGGCCUGCCGCCAGCGUUCAAUCUGAGCCAUAAUCAAACUCUGA
This 510-nucleotide ribosomal RNA is filed under the name uncultured bacterium. RNAcentral describes it as "partial 16S ribosomal RNA". The record is from RNAcentral.